RNAcentral lists this ribosomal RNA (228 nucleotides) under uncultured eukaryote. Its description in RNAcentral is "partial 18S ribosomal RNA". It matches the Rfam family "Eukaryotic small subunit ribosomal RNA", at positions 1208 to 1456 of the family's 1831-position model. The record is from RNAcentral.
GGAAAUCUCACCAGGCCCGGACACUGGAAGGAUUGACAGAUUGAUAGCUCUUUCUUGAUUCAGUGGGUGGUGGUGCAUGGCUGUUCUUAGUUGGUUGAGUGAUUUGUCUUGUUAAUUCCGUUAACGAACGAGACCUUAACCUGCUAAAUAGUGACGCGGUUCAUCGAACCGUGGGCCACUUCUUAGAGGGACUAUCGGAUUCAAACCGAUGGAAGUGUGAGGCAAUAA